AUUGAACGCUGGCGACAUGCCUUACACAUGCAAGUCGAACGGCAGCACGGGUGCUUGCACCUGGUGGCGAGUGGCGAACGGGUGAGUAAUACAUCGGAACAUGUCCUGUAGUGGGGGAUAGCCCGGCGAAAGCCGGAUUAAUACCGCAUACGAUCUACGGAUGACAGCGGGGGACCUUCGGGCCUCGCGCUAUAGGGUUGGCCGAUGGCUGAUUAGCUAGUUGGUGGGGUAAAGGCCUACCAAGGCGACGAUCAGUAGCUGGUCUGAGAGGACGACCAGCCACACUGGGACUGAGACACCGCCCAGACUCCUACGGGAGGCAGCAGUGGGGAAUUUUGGACAAUGGGCGAAAGCCUGAUCCAGCAAUGCCGCGUGUGUGAAGAAGGCCUUCGGGUUGUAAAGCACUUUUGUCCGGAAAGAAAUCCUUGGCCCUAAUACGGUCGGGGGAUGACGGUACCGGAAGAAUAAGCACCGGCUAACUACGUG
Molecule: ribosomal RNA, 486 nt
Filed under: uncultured bacterium
Lineage: Bacteria
Description: partial 16S ribosomal RNA
Rfam family: Bacterial small subunit ribosomal RNA
Source: RNAcentral